UUUUCGCAAUGCCCGAAAGGGUGACGAAGCGACGCCGCGUGUGGGAAGAAGGCCUUCGGGUUGUAAACCACUGUCGGGAGUUAAGAAAUGCAAGGAUAUUAAUAGUGUCUUUGUUUGACUAAGGCUCCGGAGGAAGCCACGGCUAACUCUGUGCCAGCAGCCGCGGUAAUACAGAGGCGGCAAGCGUUGUUCGGAAUUAUUGGGCGUAAAGAGCACGUAGGCGGCUAUGUAAGUCGGUUGUGAAAGCCUUCCGCUCAACGGAAGAACAGCAUCCGAUACUACAUGGCUUGAGUGCGGGAGGGGAGAGUGGAACUUCUGGUGGAGCGGUGAAAUGCGUAGAUAUCAGAAGGAACGCCGGCGGCGAAAGCGGCUCUCUGGCCCAUAACUGACGCUGAGUGUGCGAAAGCUAGGGGAGCAAACGGGAUUAGAUACCCCGGUAGUCCUAGCCGUAAACGAUGGGCACUAAGUAGAGGGGUUUAUCGAA
RNAcentral lists this ribosomal RNA (484 nucleotides) under uncultured anaerobic ammonium-oxidizing bacterium. Its description in RNAcentral is "bacterial SSU rRNA". It matches the Rfam family "Bacterial small subunit ribosomal RNA", at positions 363 to 837 of the family's 1533-position model. The record is from RNAcentral.